This 228-nucleotide ribosomal RNA is filed under the name uncultured bacterium. RNAcentral's name for it is "partial 16S ribosomal RNA". It matches the Rfam family "Bacterial small subunit ribosomal RNA", at positions 122 to 334 of the family's 1533-position model. The record is from RNAcentral.
CAAACCUGUCCCUACGUUCCGGAUAAUUGACCGAAAGGUCUUGUAAUACGGGGGAGGGUCCAUCGGAGGCAUCUUCAGGUGGAAGGAACGCGCAGGAGCAAUCCUGUGCGGCGCGGGGAGGGGUUCGCGGAUUAUCAGCUUGUUGGUGAGGUAAUGGCUCACCAAGGCGACGACGAUUAGCCGGUCUGAGAGGAUGGUCAGCCACAUUGGAACUGAGACACUGUCCAG